Molecule: ribosomal RNA, 480 nt
Filed under: Triticum aestivum (bread wheat)
Lineage: Eukaryota; Viridiplantae; Streptophyta; Magnoliopsida; Poales; Poaceae
Description: partial small subunit ribosomal RNA
Source: RNAcentral
AUGCAUGUUGAUACUAUAAUGGAAUCUCGUGAUGCAACAUUUUUUGAGAACAUAUUUCCUAUGAAAGAUAUGCAUAGCAUUGCUAGAUUUUCUUCUGAGAUAAUUCCUGAAUCUAGUACAACUGAUGAAUAUUUCGAACAAUCACAUGAGGAAGUCCUUGAGAAGGAUAACAAUGAAGUUCCUAGAAGGAACAAGAGACAAAGGAUUGCAAAAUCCUUUGGUGAUGAUUUCAUUGUAUACCUUGUGGACGACACGCCCAAGACGAUUGCAGAAGCAUAUGCAUCUCCGGAUGUAGAUGAUUGGAAAGAAGCUGUUCAUAAUGAGAUGGACUCAAUUCUUUCUAAUGGAACUUGGGAACUAACUGAUAGACCAUAUGGUUGUAAACCUGUGGGCUGUAAGUGGGUGUUCAAAAAGAAGCUAAAGCCUGAUGGUACUAUUGAUAAGUACAAGGCGCAGCUAGUGGCCAAGGGCUACACUUAG